Molecule: ribosomal RNA, 856 nt
Filed under: Pyrenophora teres
Lineage: Eukaryota; Fungi; Ascomycota; Dothideomycetes; Pleosporales; Pleosporaceae
Also listed under: 1 other name
Description: partial large subunit ribosomal RNA
Rfam family: Eukaryotic large subunit ribosomal RNA
Source: RNAcentral
AUUGCCCUAGUAACGGCGAGUGAAGCGGCAACAGCUCAAAUUUGAAAUCUGGCUCUUUCAGAGUCCGAGUUGUAAUUUGCAGAGGGCGCUUUGGCUUUGGCAGCGGUCCAAGUUCCUUGGAACAGGACGUCACAGAGGGUGAGAAUCCCGUACGUGGUCGCUAGCUAUUGCCGUGUAAAGCCCCUUCGACGAGUCGAGUUGUUUGGGAAUGCAGCUCUAAAUGGGAGGUAAAUUUCUUCUAAAGCUAAAUACUGGCCAGAGACCGAUAGCGCACAAGUAGAGUGAUCGAAAGAUGAAAAGCACUUUGGAAAGAGAGUCAAACAGCACGUGAAAUUGUUGAAAGGGAAGCGCUUGCAGCCAGACUUGCUUGCAGUUGCUCAUCCGGGCUCUUGCCCGGUGCACUCUUCUGCAGGCAGGCCAGCAUCAGUUUGGGCGGUGGGAUAAAGGUCUCUGUCACGUACCUCUCUUCGGGGAGGCCUUAUAGGGGAGACGACAUACCACCAGCCUGGACUGAGGUCCGCGCAUUCGCUAGGAUGCUGGCGUAAUGGCUGUAAGCGGCCCGUCUUGAAACACGGACCAAGGAGUCUAACAUCUAUGCGAGUGUUUGGGUGUCAAGCCCGAACGCGUAAUGAAAGUGAACGGAGGUGGGAACCCGCAAGGGUGCACCAUCGACCGAUCCUGAUGUCUUCGGAAGGAUUUGAGUAAGAGCAUGGCUGUUGGGACCCGAAAGAUGGUGAACUAUGCUUGAAUAGGGUGAAGCCAGAGGAAACUCUGGUGGAGGCUCGCAGCGGUUCUGACGUGCAAAUCGAUCGUCAAAUUUGGGCAUAGGGGCGAAAGACUAAUCGAAUAUCUAGUA